GACGAACGCUGGCGGCGUGCUUAACACAUGCAAGUCGAACGGAAAGGCCCUGCUUUUGUGGGGUGCUCGAGUGGCGAACGGGUGAGUAACACGUGAGUAACCUGCCCUUGACUUUGGGAUAACUUCAGGAAACUGGGGCUAAUACCGGAUAGGAGCUCCUGCUGCAUGGUGGGGGUUGGAAAGUUUCGGCGGUUGGGGAUGGACUCGCGGCUUAUCAGCUUGUUGGUGGGGUAGUGGCUUACCAAGGCUUUGACGGGUAGCCGGCCUGAGAGGGUGACCGGCCACAUUGGGACUGAGAUACGGCCCAGACUCCUACGGGAGGCAGCAGUGGGCAAUAUUGCACAAUGGGCGGAAGCCUGAUGCAGCAACGCCGCGUGCGGGAUGACGGCCUUCGGGUUGUAACCCGCUUUCGCCUGUGACGAAGCGAGAGUGACGGUAAUGGGUGAAGAAGCACCGGCUAACUACGUG
RNAcentral lists this ribosomal RNA (468 nucleotides) under uncultured bacterium. RNAcentral describes it as "partial 16S ribosomal RNA". It matches the Rfam family "Bacterial small subunit ribosomal RNA", at positions 28 to 507 of the family's 1533-position model. The record is from RNAcentral.